AUUGUGCAUUUUUAAGUAGAUAUAUGGAAAUCCUGGAGCAUUCUUAGUGGGUAUAUUGUGUAUACCUGCGUAUCACGUAGACUACACCACUGGUUUAUUGACCAUAAAU
This is a long non-coding RNA of Etheostoma spectabile (orangethroat darter), 109 nucleotides long. RefSeq lists it as uncharacterized. The record is from RefSeq and is a predicted model, not a curated record. NCBI's taxonomy places the organism in Eukaryota, Metazoa, Chordata, Actinopteri, Perciformes, Percidae. The transcript is spliced from 3 exons.